GAUGAACGCUAGCGGCAGGCCUAAUACAUGCAAGUCGAACGGUGUCUUCGGACAUAGUGGCGCACGGGUGCGUAACACGUAUGCAACCUACCUUACAUUGGGGGAUAGCCUUUCGAAAGGGAGAUUAAUACCGCAUAAGACAGUAACUAGGCAUCUAGUAGCUGUUAAAGAUUUAUCGAUGUAAGCUGGGCAUGCGUCCAAUUAGCUAGUUGGUGAGGUAACGGCUCACCAAGGCAAUGAUUGGUAGGGGAACUGAGAGGUCAAUCCCCCACACUGGCACUGAGAUACGGGCCAGACUCCUACGGGAGGCAGCAGUAGGGAAUAUUGGGCAAUGGACGCAAGUCUGACCCAGCCAUGCCGCGUGCAGGAUGAAGGCGUUAUGCGUUGUAAACUGGAUUUAUACAGGAAGAAACGACUCUUGCGGGAGGCAUUGACGGUACUGUAUGAAUAAGCACCGGCUAACUC
Molecule: ribosomal RNA, 465 nt
Filed under: uncultured bacterium
Lineage: Bacteria
Description: bacterial SSU rRNA
Rfam family: Bacterial small subunit ribosomal RNA
Source: RNAcentral